RNAcentral lists this transfer RNA (71 nucleotides) under Thermoleophilia bacterium. RNAcentral's name for it is "tRNA-Gln". It matches the Rfam family "tRNA". Rfam says of the family: Transfer RNA (tRNA) molecules are approximately 80 nucleotides in length. The record is from RNAcentral. Lineage: Bacteria; Bacillati; Actinomycetota; Thermoleophilia.
UGCGGGAUAGUCUAAUGGUAGGACGCUCGGCUCUGGACCGAGAAAUCGGGGUUCGAAUCCCUGUCCCGCAG